Molecule: unclassified non-coding RNA, 185 nt
Filed under: uncultured Atheliales
Lineage: Eukaryota; Fungi; Basidiomycota; Agaricomycetes; Atheliales
Description: sequence contains ITS2
Source: RNAcentral
AAUACCUCAAACCCUGAUGGAUUUGUUUCCUUUAGGGGCUUUGGAGCUGGAGUGUGCUGGCGCGAGUCGGCUCCUCUCAAAUGCAUCAGCGGAAAUUGAUCUCGGGCUUCAGUGUGAUAAUUAUGUUGCGCUGUGGUCUGAGCCCUCAGGUCCGCUCACAAAUGGUCCUUGGACAAUUAUAUCGA